CCUACCGGAGGCAGCAGUGGGGAAUCUUGCGCAAUGGGCGAAAGCCUGACGCAGCAACGCCGCGUGCGGGAAGAAGGCUUUCGGGCUGUAAACCGCUUUCAGCAGGAACGAAAAUGACGGUACCUGCAGAAGAAGGAGCGGCCAACUAUGUGCCAGCAGCCGCGGUGAUACAUAGGCUUCAAGCGUUGUCCGGAUUUAUUGGGCGUAAAGAGUUCGUAGGCGGUCAAGUAAGUCGGGUGUGAAAAUUCUGGGCUCAACCCAGAGACGCCACCCGAUACUGCUUAACUUGAGUUCGAUAGGGGAGUGGGGAAUUCCUAGUGUAGCGGUGAAAUGCGCAGAUAUUAGGAGGAACACCGGUGGCGAAGGCGCCACUCUGGAUCGAUACUGACGCUGAGGAACGAAAGCAUGGGUAGCAAACAGGAUUAGAUACCCUGGUAGUCCAUGCCGUAAACGGUGGGCACUAGGUGUGGGUUUCUAUUAACGAAAUCCGCGCCGUCGCUAACGCAUUAAGUGCCCCGCCUGGGGAGUACGGUCGCAAGCUAAAACUCAAAUGAAUUGACGG
This 562-nucleotide ribosomal RNA is filed under the name uncultured bacterium. RNAcentral describes it as "bacterial SSU rRNA". It matches the Rfam family "Bacterial small subunit ribosomal RNA", at positions 338 to 916 of the family's 1533-position model. The record is from RNAcentral.